RNAcentral lists this ribosomal RNA (491 nucleotides) under uncultured bacterium. Its description in RNAcentral is "partial 16S ribosomal RNA". It matches the Rfam family "Bacterial small subunit ribosomal RNA", at positions 29 to 506 of the family's 1533-position model. The record is from RNAcentral.
AGUGAACGCUGGCGGCAGGCCUAACACAUGCAAGUCGAACGGCAGCACAGUAAGAGCUUGCUCUUACGGGUGGCGAGUGGCGGAUGGGUGCGGAAUACAUCGGAAUCUACUUUUUCGUGGGUGAUAACGUAGGCAAACUUACGCUAAUACCCCUUACGACCUACGGUUGAAAGCAGGGGACCUUCCGACCUUGCGCGACUCUAUGAGCCGUUGUCGGUUUAGCUCGUUGGCGGGGUAAAGGCCCACCAUGGCGUCGAUCGGUAGCAGGCCUAGUAGGAAGAUCAGCACCAGGGGACUCAGGAGCCGGCCCGGACCCCUACGGGGGGCACGAGGGGGGAAUAUUGGAAAUUGGGCGCAAGCCUGAUCCAGCCAUACCGCGUAGGUGAAGAAGACUUUCGAGUUGUAAAGCCCUUUUGUUGGGAAAGAAAAGCAGAAGGUUAAACCCCCCCUGUUCUGACGGUACCCAAAGAAGAACCACCGGCUAACUUCGU